GCUCAGUAACACGUACUGCUCAGUAACACGUGGACAACCUGCCCUUAGGUUGGGUAUAAACCCGGGAAACUGGGUAUAAUACCCGAUAGGUCUCGAUUGCUGGAAUGCAUCGAGAUUUAAAGCUCCGGCGCCUAAGGAUGGGUCUGCGGCCUAUCAGGUAGUAGUGGGUGUAGCGUACCUACUAGCCUACGACGGGUACGGGUUGUGAGAGCAAGAGCCCGGAGAUGGAUUCUGAGACACGAAUCCAGGCCCUACGGGGUGCAGCAGGCGCGAAAACUUUACAAUGCUGGCAACAGCGAUAAGGGAACCUCGAGUGCCAGGUUACAAAUCUGGCUGUCGAGAUGCCUAAAAAGCAUUUCAUAGCAAGGGCCGGGCAAGACCGGUGCCAGCAGCCGCGGUAAU
This 402-nucleotide ribosomal RNA is filed under the name uncultured archaeon. Its description in RNAcentral is "bacterial SSU rRNA". It matches the Rfam family "Archaeal small subunit ribosomal RNA", at positions 71 to 474 of the family's 1478-position model. The record is from RNAcentral.